Molecule: ribosomal RNA, 497 nt
Filed under: uncultured bacterium
Lineage: Bacteria
Description: partial 16S ribosomal RNA
Rfam family: Bacterial small subunit ribosomal RNA
Source: RNAcentral
GAUGAACGCUGGCGGCGUGCCUAAUACAUGCAAGUCGAGCGAACGGACGAGAAGCUUGCUUCUCUGAUGUUAGCGGCGGACGGGUGAGUAACACGUGGAUAACCUACCUAUAAGACUGGGAUAACUUCGGGAAACCGGAGCUAAUACCGGAUAAUAUUUUGAACCGCAUGGUUCAAAAGUGAAAGACGGUCUUGCUGUCACUUAUAGAUGGAUCCGCGCUGCAUUAGCUAGUUGGUAAGGUAACGGCUUAACAAGGCAACUAUGCAUAGCCGACCUGAGAGGGUGAUCAGCCACACUGGAACUGAGACACGGUCCAGACUCCUACGGGAGGCAGCAGUAGGGAAUCUUGCGCAAUGGGCGCAAGCCUGACGGAGCAACGCCGCGUGAGUGAUGAAGGUCUUCGGAUCGUAAAACUCUGUUAUUAGGGAAGAACAUAUGUGUAAGUAACUGUGCACAUCUUGACGGUACCUAAUCAGAAAGCCACGGCUAACUACGUG